RNAcentral lists this ribosomal RNA (252 nucleotides) under uncultured bacterium. RNAcentral's name for it is "partial 16S ribosomal RNA". It matches the Rfam family "Bacterial small subunit ribosomal RNA", at positions 525 to 776 of the family's 1533-position model. The record is from RNAcentral.
ACGGAGGGUGCAAGCGUUAAUCGGAAUUACUGGGCGUAAAGCGUGCGUAGGCGGAUUGUUAAGUCAGAUGUGAAAGCCCCGGGCUCAACCUGGGAACUGCAUUUGAUACUGGCAGUCUAGAGUGUAGUAGAGGGGGGUAGAAUUCCUAGUGUAGCGGUGAAAUGCGUAGAUAUUAGGAGGAAUACCAGUGGCGAAGGCGACCCCCUGGACUAACACUGACGCUGAGGUACGAAAGCGUGGGUAGCGAACAGG